AUUUAAAUAGCUUAAGAUAGAGUAUAGUAUUGAAGAUACUGGGGUAAUUAUUAAAUUUUUAAAUA
RNAcentral lists this transfer RNA (65 nucleotides) under Scolytinae sp. BMNH 1043031. RNAcentral describes it as "tRNA-Phe". The record is from RNAcentral. Lineage: Eukaryota; Metazoa; Arthropoda; Insecta; Coleoptera; Curculionidae.